This 1962-nucleotide long non-coding RNA is filed under the name Nicotiana benthamiana. RNAcentral describes it as "long non-coding RNA (NBEN_LNC008293)". The record is from RNAcentral. Lineage: Eukaryota; Viridiplantae; Streptophyta; Magnoliopsida; Solanales; Solanaceae.
CGUUUAAUCCCAAUCAUUGAUCUCCAUUGGUGAAAUGGUUGGGAACCAAGGCCUCCUGUUCUAUAUAUGUGUUUGAACUGAUACCCUCUCCCUCCUCCCCAGUCAAACCUCAGUCUGUCUCUAACCUUCCAAAUCCUAGAAAUCUGCCGCCCCAAAAUUCCCGUCAUCUCCUACCGGCGGUUCAACCGUAAUUAACCCCAAACUUACACCCUAUAACCGCCAAGCCUCCCCAAACUCGAAUCCCUUGGAGUUUUUCCCAAAUAAAUUUUGAAUUCAUCAAAUAUAAAUCCAAAUUUACCCUAAUUUCGGAGUUUAAGGUCUCUUGAAGCUUCUGCUUGUCUUGGCUCGAAGCUGGCUAUAGUAGACCAUUCUUGACUAGAGUGGUCAUUAAGGUCUCUUCAAGCUUCGUCGAAGUGUCCCAUGUUUGUUCAUCUAUGCUAAUACUCUCCAUUUUUUGGUGAGUCAUUCAUCUCUUUUUCUUUAUUUUUAUUUUUCUAUUUUUGUCUCCUCGGAUUCUUUCCUUUUUAUUUAUUUCUUUUUUGUUCAGUUAUUUUUUUCUUAAAUGUUACAUUAGAGUAUUUGAAUGGGAUUUUGAUUUUAUUUUCGUUCAAAUUAGUUAAUUGAUAAAACAACCUAGCACAUUCUAGUUCAGGGUAGUUACAAUUUGCUUUGAUUAGUUCAAUUCCGUUUGUUUAUUGAAAUCAGUUAGCCCUAAGGUUUACUAUUUAGAUAUUGAUGCCUAGUUCUUCUCUUUUGGGUUGUUGGUUCACCCCUGUUUGGGUUGGACGAGCCCAUGGAUUUUGGUUUAGGUCUUCGCCAAUUUGACCCUGGAAUGAUUCACUCUAGGUGAAAAUUCAAGGUUGUCAAAGGGUGUUUGGGGUUAUUUGAAGCUUAGGGAAUAUUAUUCUAUCAUGGGAAGCUUAUAGAGAUAAAUCUAGGGUGGUUUGUUAGGAGAUAGUAUUCAGAUAUUUUGAAGGGGUUAAGGGGUAAAAUAACUAAGAAAAUAAGGGAUAGAAGAGGAAUUAUCUAACUAGGCUAGGGUUGCCUUAAGAGUGUCUAUAUAAAGAGCAUAUUCCUCCAUUUUUAGUAGCCAUUCAUAAUUCUAAAAAGACAUACAAAAGGUUUCUGCAUUACACUGAAAUUGGGUUGAACAUUUCUCUAAUUUUUUUCAUUGGCCAAAAAUCAUAGAAAUUUUCAUGGGAAUUCUUGGUUUACUAAGCUGAACUUGGUUGGGUUGAACCUGUAGUUUUGAUUGUUGCUGCUGCUCUUUGCUCUUAGUUUUGUUGUUUCGUUUGUUCAUAUUGGCUGAAGUUCAUGACUUUUCUCUUCUUUGUUGUUGUAACCAGGCACCCUCGCAUGCCUUGAAAAAUGCAAAAAUGAAGAAUAAAUUGCUUGACUUGAAGUUGAAAUAACAGGAUUUAUUUAGUUUGAUGCAUGAUUGCUUUCUUUCUUCAAUUUGUUGUUCUUUUGCUAUUUGUUAAGUUUGUUUAACAAUGACGUUUGGUGCCUAGUUCAUUCACACUGUUAGGGAACUGUUUGAUUUCUUUACAUGGAUUUGAGCACGUUUUACCAUAUUCAGGGAUUGUAAUAUCUGUCUAUGGCCAUCUGGUUUUGCUCUGUUGUGGGCUCGAUUUGAGCCCAAUAGCCUUCAACAUUUUCUAGUUUCUUAUGUGUAGAUUUAUUCAAUAAGAAAACGAUUUCGAUAAAGAAUUUGAUUCAAAGUUCAAUUAAAUUUCUUAUUUCGAUAAGCAUGCAAUUAAUUUGCUUAAAUUGGAGUUUGAUUGUUGGGAUAUUUUUAGAUUUUGGGCUCAAUGAUGGCCUAGUGGAAAUGGCUAAGUCGAUUGGGCUGUUUCCUUUCAUCUGCCUGUUCCCUUGGAUUAAAUUCCAUCCCAGCCCUUUCUUAUAACAAAAUAUGUUCUCGAACGUAAUUAGAGUCAUCUUCCUUGAUUCGGAAUUUUGAAC